This 465-nucleotide ribosomal RNA is filed under the name uncultured bacterium. Its description in RNAcentral is "partial 16S ribosomal RNA". It matches the Rfam family "Bacterial small subunit ribosomal RNA", at positions 29 to 507 of the family's 1533-position model. The record is from RNAcentral.
AUGCACGCUGGCGGCGUGCUUAACACCUGCAAGUCGCACGGAAAGGCUCCUGCUUGCAGGGGCACUCGAGUGGCGAACGGGUGAGUAACACGUGGGUGAUCUGCCCUGCACUUCGGGAUAAGCCUGGGAAACUGGGUCUAAUACCGGAUAGGACCAUCGUUUAGUGUCGGUGGUGGAAAGUUUUUUCGGUGUGGGAUGAGCUCGCGGCCUAUCAGCUUGUUGGUGGGGUAAUGGCCUACCAAGGCGUCGACGGGUAGCCGGCCUGAGAGGGUGUACGGCCACAUUGGGACUGAGAUACGGCCCAGACUCCUACGGGAGGCAGCAGUGGGGAAUAUUGCACAAUGGGCGCAAGCCUGAUGCAGCGACGCCGCGUGGGGGAUGACGGCCUUCGGGUUGUAAACUCCUUUCGCCAGGGACGAAGCGAAAGUGACGGUACCUGGAUAAGAAGCACCGGCUAACUACGUG